GAUGAACGCUGGCGGCGUGCCUAAUACACGCAAGUCGAGCGAACAGAUGAGGAGCUUGCUCCUCUGACGUUAGCGGCGGACGGGUGAGUAACACGUGGAUAACCUACCUAUAAGACUGGGAUAACUUCGGGAAACCGGAGCUAAUACCGGAUAAUAUAUUGAACCGCAUGGUUCAAUAGUGAAAGACGGUUUUGCUGUCACUUAUAGAUGGAUCCGCGCCGCAUUAGCUAGUUGGUAAGGUAACGGCUUACCAAGGCAACGAUGCGUAGCCGACCUGAGAGGGCGAUCGGCCACACUGGAACUGAGACACGGUCCAGACUCCUACGGGAGGCAGCAGUAGGGAAUCUUCCGCAAUGGGCGAAAGCCUGACGGAGCAACGCCGCGUGAGUGAUGAAGGUCUUCGGAUCGUAAAACUCUGUUAUUAGGGAAGAACAAAUGUGUAAGUAACUAUGCACGUCUUGACGGUACCUAAUCAGAAAGCCACGGCUAACUACGUG
Molecule: ribosomal RNA, 497 nt
Filed under: uncultured bacterium
Lineage: Bacteria
Description: partial 16S ribosomal RNA
Rfam family: Bacterial small subunit ribosomal RNA
Source: RNAcentral